UACGUAGGGUGCGAGCGUUGUCCGGAAUUACUGGGCGUAAAGGGCUCGUAGGCGGCCAACUAAGUCGGAUGUGAAAUCCCCAGGCUUAACCUGGGAACUGCAUCCGAUACUGGAUGGCUUGAAUCCGGGAGAGGGAUGCAGAAUUCCAGGUGUAGCGGUGAAAUGCGUAGAUAUCUGGAGGAAUACCGGUGGCGAAGGCGGCAUCCUGGACCGGCAUUGACGCUGAUGAGCGAAAGCUAGGGGAGCAAACGGG
This 253-nucleotide ribosomal RNA is filed under the name uncultured bacterium. RNAcentral's name for it is "partial 16S ribosomal RNA". It matches the Rfam family "Bacterial small subunit ribosomal RNA", at positions 524 to 776 of the family's 1533-position model. The record is from RNAcentral.